GGUCGCUGUGGUGACGGCGGGUUGGCCGUUAAGGGAGCCGAGGGAUGGGGGAGUGUGAGCAGCCUAAAGCUCCAACCGCGUUUUAUGGCGUCAUGUGGCGCCUUGUUCAAAGACUGAAGUGGUGAAGGAGUGCUCAGAACAGUCUAAAUGCACUCCUAAAAUUAACAGCCAGAAUUAACCCCUUUCCUCUGACAGCACUGAGACACCCCGUGACUUUAUUAUCAGACUUCACCCUGUGCGAUUAGAGGCAGCAGCGAUACAGAUCUUGCAGCUCCACAAACACAUCAUGUCCAAUCCCACUUCAUUCCUGCUGUCAUCUACCUCUGCUACGCAGCUUACAGCUGUUGAGCAGACCUGCUAAGAUCUGGACGGCUCCUCCACAACUUCUCUUCCCACUGGGUGAAGCAGAGCUGGGUACUGACUCUCCAUUGCUCCUCACUGAGGCACUGCCACAGUCUGUGAGCAAUGCAAAAAAUUCCUGGGGAUGUUCUUGCUGACAGCGAUAGGGUGG
Coturnix japonica (Japanese quail) is the source of this 511-nucleotide long non-coding RNA. RefSeq lists it as uncharacterized. Lineage: Eukaryota; Metazoa; Chordata; Aves; Galliformes; Phasianidae. The record is from RefSeq and is a predicted model, not a curated record.